AUGAACGCUAGCGAUAGGCUUAACACAUGCAAGUCGAGGGGCAGCAUGGUCUUAGCUUGCUAAGGCUGAUGGCGACCGGCGCACGGGUGCGUAACGCGUAUGCAACUUGCCUCACAGAGGGGGAUAACCCGUCGAAAGACGGACUAAUACCGCGUACACUCUAUGUUGGGCAUCCAAUGUAGAGGAAAUGAAAUUCGCUGUGAGAUAGGCAUGCGUCCCAUUAGCUAGUUGGUGAGGUAACGGCUCACCAAGGCGACGAUGGGUAGGGGAACUGAGAGGUUGAACCCCCACACUGGUACUGAGACACGGACCAGACGCCUACGGGAGGCAGCAGUGAGGAAUAUUGGUCAAUGGGCGAGAGCCUGAACCAGCCAAGUCGCGUGAAGGAUGACUGUCUUAUGGAUUGUAAACUUCUUUAAUACGGGAAUAACAAGAGUCACGUGUGGCUCCCUGCAUGUACCGUAUGAAUAAGCAUCGGCUAACUCCGUG
RNAcentral lists this ribosomal RNA (489 nucleotides) under uncultured bacterium. RNAcentral describes it as "partial 16S ribosomal RNA". It matches the Rfam family "Bacterial small subunit ribosomal RNA", at positions 29 to 507 of the family's 1533-position model. The record is from RNAcentral.